RNAcentral lists this unclassified non-coding RNA (278 nucleotides) under Hevea brasiliensis (rubber tree). Lineage: Eukaryota; Viridiplantae; Streptophyta; Magnoliopsida; Malpighiales; Euphorbiaceae. The record is from RNAcentral.
GAUGUAUUGCUAUGAGAAAGAUGUCGAUUAGGUGUUAGGCUUGGGUCAGUGCAGUUCAAACAUAUUUGAUUGUGGUUUUACAAACUAUAAUUCCAGUAUAUGAUUCAUGAUACUUGCUUGUAAACCACAAUUUUCACUUUGAACCUCUCCCCUUAAAGGAUUGUAACGUUUUAUGAGAGAAUGAAUUUAGCAAAUAACAGUGUCGGAACCUUCAGGAAACUGUAUACAAUCUCACUUACUGUAAAUUUUCUUUCUCUCUGUGCAGGCCAAUGCAGCUU